Molecule: transfer RNA, 77 nt
Filed under: Paenibacillus sp. HMSSN-139
Lineage: Bacteria; Bacillati; Bacillota; Bacilli; Caryophanales; Paenibacillaceae
Description: tRNA-Pyl
Source: RNAcentral
ACCCGACCCGGGGAGGGGUAUUUGGGAUUCUAAGUCUCGGAUUCCUCGUUUCGGUGAUCGUCUCGCUGAUCGGGUAC